This 255-nucleotide unclassified non-coding RNA is filed under the name Zea mays. RNAcentral's name for it is "misc RNA Zm00001eb263850". The record is from RNAcentral. Lineage: Eukaryota; Viridiplantae; Streptophyta; Magnoliopsida; Poales; Poaceae.
CUGAACCCGUCGGCUGCUGGCGGAAUGCUCGAGCUGCUCGCGCGGCGAGAGCGGGCCGCCGCAUGCCGGCCGGGGGACGGACCGGGAACGGCCCCCUCGGAGGCCUUCCCCGGGCGUCGAACAACCGACUCAGAACUGGUCUCCUCGGCCGAGCCCCGCACCCCCUCGCGGCCUAGCCGUGGCCGGUCGGCACCCUACCGCGCCAAGCUCCGGCUGGCGCUGUUGGCUGCCUGGCCGGCCGUGGUUCGGCCGUGA